This 648-nucleotide long non-coding RNA is filed under the name Equus asinus (donkey). RNAcentral describes it as "lncRNA (ENSEASG00005033669.1)". Lineage: Eukaryota; Metazoa; Chordata; Mammalia; Perissodactyla; Equidae. The record is from RNAcentral.
GAGGAGUGAUCCCAGGGAGCAGGAGUGCAUCCCAGAUUCAGAGAGAGCCCAUUAAAGGGUGCAUGAUUGAGCUGCUUCCCGCUGUGGGCAAUUGAGGCUCAGUCCUGCUGGGAACUCUUUGAAGAAUCAUGUUGGAUGAUCCUCAGAAUUAUCCAUCCGAAACCCAGAAGAGGCGGAUAUUUAUGCACCAGUCCUUUCCCCUGUUGGACCAGGGCUAACCCAGGGUAUAUUAAUUCCCUCAUACUUCCAGGUCUCUUCGUGCGUUAGAAGAGCUGUGCACAAUCCAACAAACACCACAGAAGCUAGGGAAGGAAGUAUAAGACAUUGACACAGUAAGGUGACCUGCUAUCAGGUAACAACAGCAUACAGUUGAUGGCCACAGCAAUGCCUGGAGCAAAUGAAUGGGCUGAGAGGAUGCGAGGCAUGGACUCUGGCGCUGACUCUUCUGGCUCCUCCUCCACGUGUAAGGCCCUUGUGACUACACUGGGCACCCUGGAUAAUCAGGCCAAUCUCCUUAUUUAAGAAUGCCACUCACUGUGUGAAGGAACUCAUCUGGGCCCAUCUGCAUCAUUCCUGCUGGACUGAGAGGCAAGAACUGACACAAAUAUGCUGACGCCCAUGCUGUCUCUGUCUGACCCAGCAGUCUCU